GCCCGGUUAGCUCAAUCGGUAGAGUAAGUUGAACACCUUCACACGAUCUCACGAGUCAGUCAGCUAACAAUUCGACAGGCGUGAGACUCUUAAUCUCAAGGUUGCGGGUUCGACCCCCGCAUCGGGCU
Molecule: non-coding RNA, 128 nt
Organism: Hypoxylon sp. FL0543
Lineage: Eukaryota; Fungi; Ascomycota; Sordariomycetes; Xylariales; Hypoxylaceae
Source: the annotation of a GenBank genome assembly